RNAcentral lists this ribosomal RNA (427 nucleotides) under uncultured Pseudomonadota bacterium. RNAcentral's name for it is "bacterial SSU rRNA". It matches the Rfam family "Bacterial small subunit ribosomal RNA", at positions 355 to 774 of the family's 1533-position model. The record is from RNAcentral. Lineage: Bacteria; Pseudomonadati; Pseudomonadota.
UGGGGAAUUUUGGACAAUGGGCGCAAGCCUGAUCCAGCCAUGCCGCGUGCGGGAAGAAGGCCUUCGGGUUGUAAACCGCUUUUGUCAGGGAAGAAAUCUUCUGGGUUAAUACCUCGGGAGGAUGACGGUACCUGAAGAAUAAGCACCGGCUAACUACGUGCCAGCAGCCGCGGUAAUACGUAGGGUGCGAGCGUUAAUCGGAAUUACUGGGCGUAAAGCGUGCGCAGGCGGUUAUGCAAGACAGAUGUGAAAUCCCCGGGCUUAACCUGGGAACUGCAUUUGUGACUGCAUAGCUAGAGUACGGUAGAGGGGGAUGGAAUUCCGCGUGUAGCAGUGAAAUGCGUAGAUAUGCGGAGGAACACCGAUGGCGAAGGCAAUCCCCUGGACCUGUACUGACGCUCAUGCACGAAAGCGUGGGGAGCAAACA